UGGAGAUUAGAAAUUUAAAGAGAAUUCAAAGAAGAAAUUAAGACAAAGAAAAUUAUGAGAUUCAAUUGAUCAACGAUGUAUGAAGUUAAAUCUUAUUUCUUUUUAGUGGGAUAAGAAGCCAUCUUGUAGAGUCCACAAAUCCCUUCAGACUUUCCAAUGUUUCUCUUCAUCCUAAUAAACCCUUUCUCACCCCACUUUGCUCCCCAUGAAUUCUUCACUAUAAUGUAAUCCAAACCCUUUGAUGUACCAUAUCCAACGGCUGACACACCAUGAUCUAGCUCACUUCCACAAUGUCCAUCAAACACACC
RNAcentral lists this long non-coding RNA (308 nucleotides) under Medicago truncatula (barrel medic). RNAcentral describes it as "lncRNA gene19919". Lineage: Eukaryota; Viridiplantae; Streptophyta; Magnoliopsida; Fabales; Fabaceae. The record is from RNAcentral.